Molecule: ribosomal RNA, 206 nt
Filed under: uncultured bacterium
Lineage: Bacteria
Description: partial 16S ribosomal RNA
Rfam family: Bacterial small subunit ribosomal RNA
Source: RNAcentral
CUCGUAGGCGGCCAACUAAGUCAGACGUGAAAUCCCUCGGCUUAACCGGGGAACUGCGUCUGAUACUGGAUGGCUGGAGUUUGGGAGAGGGAUGCGGAAUUCCAGGUGUAGCGGUGAAAUGCGUAGAUAUCUGGAGGAACACCGGUGGCGAAGGCGGCAUCCUGGACCAAUACUGACGCUGAGGAGCGAAAGCCAGGGAGCAAACG